UUCCGUAUUUUUUUCCUUAUAAAUCGACUUAGUUUUUCUCCUAGGAAACAUAACAUUCACUCUGCGUUUAAAGUCUUUAAACUUUUAAUAAUUUUCUAAAACUAUCUUGUAAUUAUACCGGACUUGGCCAAAAGCUUGUUUAUGAUCCGUAGCUAUUACCUAGCAGAACAUUUUUGUUCCUGGUUUGCUGUAUUUUACUUAUAAAUUGACUUAGUUUUUCUUCCAGUUAGCAUUACAUACAGUCUUCAGUUAAAAGUUUUUAAAACAUUUAUUUGAUUCAAAAUCUAUCCUGAAUUUUUACCAAACUUCUUACAAUCAAAAGAUACCCUAUAGCUGUUUAUUUUAUUUUUUUGGGGUGGGGGUUAUUUUCGCUUUUUUUGGAGAGCAUACUUUUGUUAUUUUUUUAAUUCUUUAUUGAAAAGCACUUUACACCCAUAUGGGCCAAUGGCUUAAAACAUGAUACAUAAUAUACAAUUUACAUAUAUAAAACAAUGAAAAUAAACAAUGUAGACACUUUGAACUAUACUCCUUGUCUUUCUUUAAAUCAAUAUAUAUAUAUAUAUAUAAGAGAUUCAAAUUAUAUCAAGGACUCCCUGUCCUCGGUCUUAGUGACUUUUUUAAGAAGGAGCCUAAUUUGCAAGUGUCCUGUUUUGUUUCAGGAUUGAGGAUAUGUUUUAAUUUAUCUAUAUCAUUUAAGUUAUUAUAUUUAUUUUCAUUUAAUAGUUAUAGUGUCUGUCGGUUGGUCAAUAACAGUAUAAGCUUAGUUUUGUACAACAUAAACAGCUAGAAGCUCUAAAGAGCCUGUGUCUCUCACCUGUAUUGACUGAUGCUUUGGAAAUCAUGUAAAAUAAGGUUAAAAUCAUAGUUUAUAGUAUUAGAUAUAAUAAUAUCUAAGAUAAUAGCUAAAAACUGCAAAAUUUCGGUACAAGUAAUAGCUUUUCUCAAAAAGCUUGUCCCUUUUUCUCGCUUAUUACGCUGUAAAAUGAUUUUUAAUUUUGUACACUCAUAGGACAAAAGUGAGUUCUCAUUCCAAAACUGUUCUACCAUUUUACUAAAAUCGAUAUGUACAAAAAUAUAUUACUAAUUCUAAUAUGACGUGUUUCUUUCACUUUGUAUACAAAAAAUCUAUACUUAUGAUAUACAUAAU
This 1147-nucleotide long non-coding RNA is filed under the name Mytilus galloprovincialis (Mediterranean mussel). Lineage: Eukaryota; Metazoa; Mollusca; Bivalvia; Mytilida; Mytilidae. The record is from RNAcentral.